ACGAUGUCGACUUGGAGGUUGUGCCCUUGAGGCGUGGCUUCCGGAGCUAACGCGUUAAGUCGACCGCCUGGGGAGUACGGCCGCAAGGUUAAAACUCAAAUGAAUUGACGGGGGCCCGCACAAGCGGUGGAGCAUGUGGUUUAAUUCGAUGCAACGCGAAGAACCUUACCUGGUCUUGACAUCCACGGAAGUUUUCAGAGAUGAGAAUGUGCCUUCGGGAACCGUGAGACAGGUGCUGCAUGGCUGUCGUCAGCUCGUGUUGUGAAAUGUUGGGUUAAGUCCCGCAACGAGCGCAACCCUUAUCCUUUGUUGCCAGCGGUCCGGCCGGGAACUCAAAGGAGACUGCCAGUGAUAAACUGGAGGAAGGUGGGGAUGACGUCAAGUCAUCAUGGCCCUUACGACCAGGGCUACACACGUGCUACAAUGGCGCAUACAAAGAGAAGCGACCUCGCGAGAGCAAGCGGACCUCAUAAAGUGCGUCGUAGUCCGGAUUGGAGUCUGCAACUCGACUCCAUGAAGUCGGAAUCGCUAGUAAUCGUGGAUCAGAAUGCCACGGUGAAUACGUUCCCGGGCCUUGUACACACCGCCCGUCACACCAUGGGAGUGGGUUGCAAAAGAAGUAGGUAGCUUAACCUUCGGGAGGGCGCUUACCACUUUGUGAUUCAUGACUGGGGUGAAGUCGAAAAGGGGGAACCC
Molecule: ribosomal RNA, 696 nt
Filed under: Shigella flexneri
Lineage: Bacteria; Pseudomonadati; Pseudomonadota; Gammaproteobacteria; Enterobacterales; Enterobacteriaceae
Description: bacterial SSU rRNA
Rfam family: Bacterial small subunit ribosomal RNA
Source: RNAcentral